Leptinotarsa decemlineata (Colorado potato beetle) is the source of this 971-nucleotide long non-coding RNA. NCBI's taxonomy places the organism in Eukaryota, Metazoa, Arthropoda, Insecta, Coleoptera, Chrysomelidae. The record is from RefSeq and is a predicted model, not a curated record.
CUAUCUUUGAUACUAUCUUUCAUGUUAUCAUCUUUCAGAUUACUUGAACUUUUAAUAAAAAAUAAUUCUUAUAUUCCACUUGUACAUAGUGUUUUUCAAGCAUCUUAUCAAUACAGUUGGUAUGCAAUAAUAUUCAAUUUUAAAAAGGUCCGGGAGUCUGGAUAACUCCACUUGAUGUUAAGAGUUGUUUAAUUUCUAAAACAAACACUGCCCCCACACACCAUAAUGACUACACAAUUCUUGACUCGCUUUUCAUCAACCAAGUUGGCUUCAUCAGGAAAAGAAAUAUAUAGUAAAUGAAUCAUUAUAUUUCAUCUCCUAGUUCUGAUGUGUGUGUUCAAUGCUUGUUUUGGAUUUGUUCUACACCAGAUAGUCCAAAAUACAAUAGUCCAAAAGUCUUCUCCUAUUUUUAUAACUUAUUCUCUCUGUCACAUAAGUUAGAUUGGAAGUGAUGAAAUGAUGUUAUUAUCCUUCUGGAAGUUGGGGUAGUACUAACAAAUUACAUAGGAGCAAUACAUCAAAUGAAGUCAAAUAUUUUCAAAGUGGAUCGAGCAAAAGUGCAAACAAACAUUUUGUUGAUGUACGUAGAUCGUAACAAGGUUGACAUCAAAGAAUUACAGCGUAGACUACAGACAGUUUUAGAUACUGAUAGUGUACGUGCUUCUGUGAGGUGCUCAUCGUUGAAGUUUGAUUGUGUACGGUUUGUCUUAUAUCAUGAAAUUACCGCUGAAGAUGUUCAACUGGCUUGUGACAAAAUACAACUAGUCAUCAAGGAAUAUGAUGAAAUAUUCAAUUUGGAAAAUUAUGAUACCGUUGCUUAGUAAAAAGAGGAGGUUAUUUUUUUAAACGUUUAAGUUAUUUAUACAUGGUAAUAUGAUGGGUAAUCAAAAACUAAUUUUUUUAUGUCAGGUUUUUACCAACUAGUUUUUUGAAAAGGUCCCCAAUAUAUGUUUCAUGAUAUUUAAAAACUU